UGGGGAAUAUUGGACAAUGGACCAAGAGUCUGAUCCAGCAAUUCUGUGUGCACGAUGAAGUUUUUCGGAAUGUAAAGUGCUUUCAGUUGGGAAGAAAAAAAUGACGGUACCAACAGAAGAAGUGACGGCUAAAUACGUGCCAGCAGCCGCGGUAAUACGUAUGUCACAAGCGUUAUCCGGAUUUAUUGGGCGUAAAGCGCGUCUAGGUGGUUAUAUAAGUCUGAUGUGAAAAUGCAGGGCUCAACUCUGUAUUGCGUUGGAAACUGUGUAACUAGAGUACUGGAGAGGUAAGCGGAACUACAAGUGUAGAGGUGAAAUUCGUAGAUAUUUGUAGGAAUGCCGAUGGGGAAGCCAGCUUACUGGACAGAUACUGACGCUGAAGCGCGAAAGCGUGGGUAGCAAACAGGAUUAGAUACCCUGGUAGUCCACGCCGUAAACGAUGAUUACUAGGUGUUGGGGGUCGAACCUCAGCACCCAAGCAAACGCGAUAAGUAAUCCGCCUGGGGAGUACGUACGCAAGUAUG
This 524-nucleotide ribosomal RNA is filed under the name uncultured bacterium. RNAcentral describes it as "bacterial SSU rRNA". It matches the Rfam family "Bacterial small subunit ribosomal RNA", at positions 355 to 896 of the family's 1533-position model. The record is from RNAcentral.